Aegilops tauschii subsp. strangulata is the source of this 1814-nucleotide non-coding RNA. Lineage: Eukaryota; Viridiplantae; Streptophyta; Magnoliopsida; Poales; Poaceae. The record is from RefSeq and is a predicted model, not a curated record.
UCGAUCUAUUUUGUAGUUCAGUAUCAGGUUGAAUUACCGUAUUCACUAAUAAGUUACAACGGUGGCUCUUCUCUGGAGAAAUUAUGAAAAUAUGAAAAUACCAUGCAAAACAAAACAGAUCAUCACAGUUAACUGGUAAGCCUGAUUGAUGCCGGUAAGUGUUUCUUGUAAAAUUUCAGUCACUUGGAUUUUCCUUGUAAACAAGAAGUAUUUAUUUCUUCAAGAAUGAAUCAAGAUGUAUUUCACAGAUGCUCGCUCCGGACGGCAUGCAAACGGCAAGGUCUGAAGUUUUAGCAUUAAAAUCUGCUGCAUCUCUUGGAGAUUGGGCUGAUGUGCAUGACAUGUACUGAUGUACACAGGGAGCCAACAAAGCACACAAAAACAAAUCUAAAGGAAAGAAAGGGAGGUGGGGAGGUGAGGAGAACGUGGAUGCUGUUUCUAGUGUUUCCCAACCCUUGUGCCAACUUUUUAACUUAUGACCAAAGCUCAAAUCUCUAGCCUUGGCUAUUGAGCUCGCCCCUCUAAACAAAUGCAGUCCCCAAGGACGCGUUGAUUCCUUGUUUGGAGCCUUAUGUGGGGGGAGGGGAUGGCCUUUCUUGGGCAACCCAUGCAUACAAUAUAAAUCUGCGGUCUCCACUAACAAAUUACUGCCUUGGGCUUUGCCCCAUCCAUCGUGUUUGCCACAGGCUAGGUGUUGUUUUACCCGAGUAUUAUAUCUCAAAUGGUGAACUACGGUAGCACAAAUCUGUUACGGAAGCGCACUCUGUAACUUUUGGGGAAUCUACAUUCUGUUUUACUCUUCGUCUGUUCUUGUUCCGAGCACAAAUAUGCGUGGUUUAUAUCUUUGUUAAUUUUGAAUGGGUAUCCUAAGUGACAGGCUGCAAUUACUUUCUGUGGAUCAAGAGUCUGUUGUUAUGGAGUAUGGACUAUUAUUAUGUACUUUGUGCUAUGAAACCUUUUUCCUGGUAAUUGUUGUGGCCUAGUUACUGCCUUUUGCAGUUUGCACUGCAUUGCAUAUGCUGUCUAUGUUUAGCUUUCACAUGCAAGGGUCACAGAUUCCAAUAUCUAGCUUGGCUUGUUCUGGGAGUGGAUUCAGCGAAGUGCGUAAUGGCUUGUCCCAGGUGUGGAUCCGAUGAGGUUUUGCAAAGAAUCGAUUAUAUGUAGAUGUAUAUAGUCCAUUUAGAAGUUGAAGAUGGUGCUCUUCUGGUUGAUCUGAGUUGUUUGUAUGAUUUUCUAAUGAUUCGUCGAAAAAGAACCUUACUUCCUUGCAGAUAUUGGUCCACUAUCCCUGGAGACGUGAGCUGAUGGACAGCUCCACCUUAAAAUGUCUGACUCUAAAUAUUCGGUGAUAGCUGGUUCUAAGAGAAGCAAGUUCAUGUAGGUUGAUUCAGUUCGCUGAUUUCAGGGAAAAGACGGUUUAUUACCUUUUUGUGGUACUCGAUGACGAUUGUUAAUGCCGAUUUGUGCAUAAUUAAUCUGGGAAGCUAUACUGCUACAGGGAGACUCUUUGCUUCCAUACCAUAAUGGCUGACGCUUAGUUUCAGUGAGUUGUCCUUUUUAAAUUAACUUUUGUUUCUUCAACCAAGUUUCCAGGAAACUAACAUGCCAAGCAGCUGAACAUUACGCUGAUCAAGUUUAGAACCAGUAAUCUGGCUACUUUGCCACUAGUGUCGAAACAUCAGACUGUCAUCAAAUGGCCCAAAAUAAAUUAAUACAUUUAACAUCUUUUUUUUUCUAUCUAUGUAUACUAGUUUCUGGUAUCGGUUUCGAAUUCUCAUUCCAGCCUACUUUGAUAAACUUCGGCUGCUAAUAUA